GACGAACGCUGGCGGCGUGCUUAACACAUGCAAGUCGAACGGAAAGGCCCAGCUUUUGGGGGGUGCUAGUGUCGAACGCGGGAGUAACACAUGAGCGUAGUCCCCCCUAGACUGGGAUAACUACUGAGGACACUGGGGCAUAUACCGGAUAUGCGAUCCUGCCGCCUGGUCGGGGUUGGAAGAUUUCUGCGGUUCGGGAUGGCCUCCCGGCUUAUCAGCUUGUUGGUGGGGUAGUGGCUUACCAAGGCUCUGACGGGUAGCCGGCCUGAGAGGGUGACCGGCCACACUGGGACUGAGAUACGGCCCAGACUCCUACGGGAGGCAGCAGUGGGGAAUAUUGCACAAUGGGCGGAAGCCUGAUGCAGCAACGCCGCGUGCGGGAUGACGGCCUUCGGGUUGUAAACCGCUUUUGCCUGGGAAGAAGCGUAAGUGACGGUACCGGCAGAAGAAGCACCGGCUAACUACGUG
This 468-nucleotide ribosomal RNA is filed under the name uncultured bacterium. Its description in RNAcentral is "partial 16S ribosomal RNA". It matches the Rfam family "Bacterial small subunit ribosomal RNA", at positions 28 to 507 of the family's 1533-position model. The record is from RNAcentral.